This is a long non-coding RNA of Cynara cardunculus var. scolymus (artichoke), 1161 nucleotides long. RefSeq lists it as uncharacterized. The transcript has 3 exons. The record is from RefSeq and is a predicted model, not a curated record. Lineage: Eukaryota; Viridiplantae; Streptophyta; Magnoliopsida; Asterales; Asteraceae.
AGGUAACAACAUCAAUCUCUCCCUCUUCCUCCAGAUAUCAUCUCGAUCUCAAUCUUCUCCCUUCUCUAGAUAACAACAUCGAUUUCUCACUGUUCCUCUGGAUAGAACUUUUCUCCAGAUAACAACACAUCGAUUUCUCCAUGUUCCUGUUAACACCUCUCUUCCUCCAUAUACGAACAUCGAAGAUCGACCUUUCUCUUCCUCCAGAUACGAACCAGAGAUCGAUCUCGAUCUCGAUCCGUGGCUGUGAAUCUCGACAGAGAUCGACCUUCCCUGUAUUUUGAGAUCUGCAGGGAUUUAGAGCAAUUGCAGAAGAUGAAUGCCAAUGAUGGUAUUUUUACCUCUAUUUGAUCGUAAAGAUUUACGAUCUCUUUUUUAUCUCAUCUUUUUGGUAUCAAAUACUGCUUGCGAAAUGAUUUAACGGUAAAGGAGAAAGUUGAAGUUAGUGGCAGCAAAAUGAAAUCAAGUGGUGUUGAUGAAGGUGAAAAGCUUAGUAUGCAACAAGAAUUGUGGGGUCUUAAUCAUGCGGAAUGUCUUAAAGAACAAGAAGAGAUGAUGAUUCGAUUCACGAACUUUGAUUCGUUAUAUAUGGAGAUGGAGAUGGAGAUGGAGAGGGACGAGGAGGAGAUGAAGAAGAUGGAGGAGGAGACAAGGGGACGUUUACCAAACACUUACCCGUUUACCAAACACUUACCCGGUCCAUCUCUGCAGAUAUUCUCCAAUUUUGUGUUUGAGUUCUACCUCCAAUAACCAGAGCGUCCCAUUUCUUGUUGUUUAAGGCGGCACUGCAUCUCUCUAUAUCCAUCGGUCAGGAGGCUCCAAGUUCGUCUGAUACAAGGGAGUUCAUGUCUAGAACUUCAUCUCUUCUUAUUUUAGUUGAGUUCUUUAUGAUUUGGGUUUCUAUGUUUAAAUCGUGAAAUCACAAAAAAGACAGUAGAAACAUUGCACAUUUUUAUGGGUAUAUCUUAAUAGAAUCAGAACUUGAGUAUCUCCAAUCGGGUUGAAAAACAGGAUUUUAUAAGCGGUUAAAAUCCAUUCAGAAAUGCAAUGGAUGCCAAUAUUGUUUAACUCUUUGCGUGUUUAGGUUUUCAUGUUAAUAUUUUCUUGUUUGCACCUGCGAGUGAGGUUUUCAUAUUUUGCAGAUGCGGCUGUUGCUUUGAU